RNAcentral lists this small nuclear RNA (139 nucleotides) under Sorex araneus (European shrew). Its description in RNAcentral is "U1 spliceosomal RNA (ENSSARG00000018603.1)". It matches the Rfam family "U1 spliceosomal RNA", at positions 1 to 112 of the family's 166-position model. From Rfam's summary of the family: U1 is a small nuclear RNA (snRNA) component of the spliceosome (involved in pre-mRNA splicing). Its 5' end forms complementary base pairs with the 5' splice junction, thus defining the 5' donor site of an intron. There are significant differences in sequence and secondary structure between metazoan and yeast U1 snRNAs, the latter being much longer (568 nucleotides as compared to 164 nucleotides in human). The record is from RNAcentral. Lineage: Eukaryota; Metazoa; Chordata; Mammalia; Eulipotyphla; Soricidae.
AUACUUACCUGGCAGGGGAGACACCAUGAUCACGUAGGUGGUUUUCCCAGGGUAAGGCUCAUCCAUUGCACUCCAUAGCAUUUUAAUGAAAUGUGGGAUGAAGCAAAUAGAAAUAAAUGGGAAAAUGUAAAAGGGCAUC